This 500-nucleotide ribosomal RNA is filed under the name uncultured bacterium. RNAcentral describes it as "partial 16S ribosomal RNA". It matches the Rfam family "Bacterial small subunit ribosomal RNA", at positions 30 to 523 of the family's 1533-position model. The record is from RNAcentral.
AUUGAACGCUGGCGGCAGGCCUAACACAUGCAAGUCGAGCGGAUGACGGGAGCUUGCUCCUUGAUUCAGCGGCGGACGGGUGAGUAAUGCCUAGGAAUCUGCCUGGUAGUGGGGGACAACGUUUCGAAAGGAACGCUAAUACCGCAUACGUCCUACGGGAGAAAGCAGGGGACCUUCGGGCCUUGCGCUAUCAGAUGAGCCUAGGUCGGAUUAGCUAGUUGGUGGGGUAAUGGCUCACCAAGGCGACGAUCCAUGACUGGUCUGAGAGGAUGAUCAGUCACACUGGAACUGAGACACGGUCCAGACUCCUACGGGAGGCAGCAGUGGGGAAUAUUGGACAAUGGGCGAAAGCCUGAUCCAGCCAUGCCGCGUGUGUGAAGAAGGUCUUCGGAUUGUAAAGCACUUUAAGUUGGGAGGAAGGGCAGUAAGUUAAUACCUUGCUGUUUUGACGUUACCGACAGAAUAAGCACCGGCUAACUCUGUGCCAGCAGCCGCCGUAA